AAAUUGAAGAGUUUGAUCAUGGCUCAGAUUGAACGCUGGCGGCAGGCCUAACACAUGCAAGUCGAACGGUAACAGGGAUCAGCUUGCUGAUUCGCUGACGAGUGGCGGACGGGUGAGU
This 118-nucleotide ribosomal RNA is filed under the name Escherichia coli. Its description in RNAcentral is "partial 16S ribosomal RNA". It matches the Rfam family "Bacterial small subunit ribosomal RNA", at positions 1 to 111 of the family's 1533-position model. Lineage: Bacteria; Pseudomonadati; Pseudomonadota; Gammaproteobacteria; Enterobacterales; Enterobacteriaceae. The record is from RNAcentral.